Non-coding RNA from Elaeis guineensis (African oil palm), 503 nucleotides. Lineage: Eukaryota; Viridiplantae; Streptophyta; Magnoliopsida; Arecales; Arecaceae. The record is from RefSeq and is a predicted model, not a curated record.
AAUUUUGUUUUGAAUUUCGGGGGAAAAUAAUGCAGUGGACUAAUAGACAGAAAAUGAAUUUGCUGUUUGUUCUAAAGGAAUCUCUUGUACUAUGUUCUAUUUUUGAUGAUUUUUUUCUUCUGGAAAAUUGCAGUUACCACAGUAAUGCAUUUAUUGCUUGCCGUGCGCUUCAUAUUGCAAACAAGCUAAAUACAUCAUCCACAUUUCCCCUUCUGGAGCUUUUCUUCAAGCAUCAGUUUUACUGCAGGUCCACCUCAACAUUUCUUUUGUUCAAACAGCUACGAUUUCUGCUUGGAGGUUCUCUUUGCACUAUUAAACAAUUGCCAUACCUAAUGAAUGUGUUGUCAUUAACAAAUAUUUCUUGUUUUUUUCUUUUUUUCGAAGGGGGGUGGGGAGAGGGGGGGUCCCCUCCUUUUAAGAAUAAUUAAAAGUCAAAUCAUGUCAUUUCAAUACAGUUCUAAUUGUACGAAAUCCAUUAUGUAGUACUUCUAGUUUCUGUUCUA